CAAAACAAAGCAAGCAGGAAGGAUAGACGAAGUGAGAAGGCUGUACGCAAGUGACAUGGUGGUCAGGCUGUGAGAACAGACAGAGCGUAUGAAUGAUAAGCAUGGUCUACCGAAGUAGUCAAAGAAAACAGGAAUGGCAGGGCAAGAAAGCACAGUGUACCGCACUAAUUUGGAGAAAGCGGACAGGCUGAACCAAUCAGCACUUUACCCCUAAACCAAGAAGCCAUUAAGUGGAAGAAUUGACCGAGCGAGAUGACACAGCACUUUGUUUCA
This 273-nucleotide non-coding RNA is filed under the name unclassified sequences. RNAcentral's name for it is "RAGATH-8 RNA". It matches the Rfam family "RAGATH-8 RNA". The record is from Rfam by way of RNAcentral.